RNAcentral lists this ribosomal RNA (238 nucleotides) under Phaeophyscia exornatula. Its description in RNAcentral is "partial 18S ribosomal RNA". Lineage: Eukaryota; Fungi; Ascomycota; Lecanoromycetes; Caliciales; Physciaceae. The record is from RNAcentral.
AAUACGUUUGCCCAGCGGAGCCUUGUGCCCAACAGUCUGUCCUCCGUGGCAGGCAACGCUUGAUUGGUGCUGGGAGAAGAUUCCAUCGGAGCUCAACCAGCAGCCGUUAUGCCCGCAUUUCGGCCCACAGAUCACCCUCAGGCGGUCUCCCCUCCCCGAGGGAUUAAGAUAUGACCGGUCCCACUUGGUAACUGGUGGAAGGCUCGUUCCGUAGGUGAACCUGCAGAAGGAUCAUUAC